GAGGAAGAAGAUGGUGAGAAUGUGGAUGCAGGAUGCUUCUGCCGCUUCCCACCACCAUUCAUCUCGAUGGAGCCUGCAGAACUCCAAAAUCCCAUGGUAGACCUGACUCCAUCAGUCAUGGUAGCAGACCACUAGCAGUUUGACCUGUUGGUUCAGUAGGUCUAGGUACUCACCACCACCGUCCAGCAGCUCUAGUAGACGAUAGAGGG
RNAcentral lists this long non-coding RNA (209 nucleotides) under Elaeis guineensis (African oil palm). RNAcentral's name for it is "long non-coding RNA (EGUI_LNC069558)". Lineage: Eukaryota; Viridiplantae; Streptophyta; Magnoliopsida; Arecales; Arecaceae. The record is from RNAcentral.